GAUGAACGCUGGCGGCGUGCCUAAUACAUGCAAGUCGAGCGAACAGACGAGGAGCUUGCUCCUCUGACGUUAGCGGCGGACGGGUGAGUAACACGUGGAUAACCUACCUAUAAGACUGGGAUAACUUCGGGAAACCGGAGCUAAUACCGGAUAAUAUAUUGAACCGCAUGGUUCAAUAGUGAAAGACGGUUUUGCUGUCACUUAUAGAUGGAUCCGCGCCGCAUUAGCUAGUUGGUAAGGUAACGGCUUACCAAGGCAACGAUGCGUAGCCGACCUGAGAGGGUGAUCGGCCACACUGGAACUGAGACACGGUCCAGACUCCUACGGGAGGCAGCAGUAGGGAAUCUUCCGCAAUGGGCGAAAGCCUGACGGAGCAACGCCGCGUGAGUGAUGAAGAUCUUCGGAUCGUAAAACUCUGUUAUUAGGGAAGAACAAAUGUGUAAGUAACUAUGCACGUCUUGACGGUACCUAAUCAGAAGGCCACGGCUAACUACGUG
RNAcentral lists this ribosomal RNA (497 nucleotides) under uncultured bacterium. Its description in RNAcentral is "partial 16S ribosomal RNA". It matches the Rfam family "Bacterial small subunit ribosomal RNA", at positions 28 to 507 of the family's 1533-position model. The record is from RNAcentral.